GAUACAAGUCUUUUUCUUCUGACUUCAAUCCAAGUGGCGCUGCCACUUUUUUCCGGAUAGUCACACUUUCUGGCAAAAGAAUUCAACGAAUCACGUUGAAGGAAUUCCACAGAAGGAACUUUGCCUCACGGAAGAUGGCGUAGCAGUCCUGACCACUCACUUUUGACAACUCCUUCUCAAUCCUGCUUGUGGGCCGGCCCUCUGCAAUGUCACGUCCUACCCUUCCAUCAUGAUCCUGCUUAGCCAAUGACAAAUCGUUUCGAAACUGUUAACUGUCUCUUAUUUUGCAUAUUGGAAUGUUGAUUCAGUUUAUAGCAAACUUUGAAAUAGAAAAAAUAAAUAGUUACCUUGCUGUGAUGUUAUCAAGCACAUAUAAUGAUCUCGAAUUUUUCGGGGCGUGAAGGCGGAGAUUGCUUGUAGAAGUGUUGACGUCAUUUUCAUGAACAUGGAAUGGUUGCUAUGGUGACAGUGAUACAGAGAAGAGCGCCCUCUCAUGGGAAGUAGAAGACAUAAAAGCUUUCUGCUGUAAAGAUAGUUUCUUUUUUGAAUAAGAAAAAAACUUUUAUUUGAUUUCUUCCCUAGUUCGUAACCCCUAAGGUGGUUGCAUGCUAAAGAAUGCGAUGCUUUUAGAAAUUUUCCAUCAGCUAUUGAAUUAGUUUGAUCAUUUGUAGAAGUUAGAAAGAUUUUUGAAAAUUAAACAUGUUAAAAAUACUUGAAAUAUUUUUAUGUUUUGUUUUUAUAUUAUGCAUAUAGAUUGUGAAUGUAUAUGUUUAUAGAAUUAGUAAAUUAUUAUAAAUAGAAUUAAGAAAUGUCCAAAAAAAAAAUUUUCCUCAAAGAUUUUGUAAAUUUAAAUAUGUAGAAGUU
Long non-coding RNA from Parasteatoda tepidariorum (common house spider), 864 nucleotides. RefSeq lists it as uncharacterized. The record is from RefSeq and is a predicted model, not a curated record. NCBI's taxonomy places the organism in Eukaryota, Metazoa, Arthropoda, Arachnida, Araneae, Theridiidae.